CCUACGGGAGGCAGCAGUCGGGAAUAUUGCGCAAUGGAGGAAACUCUGAAGCAGUGAAGUCGCGUGCAGGAGGAAGGUCCUAGGAUUGGAAACUGCCUUAGACAGGGAAGAAAAAAGACAGUAUCUGUAGAAUAAGCUCCGGCUAACUACGUGCCAGCAGCCGCGGUAAGACGGAGGGAGCAGGCUUUACCCGGAUUUAUUGGGUGUAAAGGGUGCGUAGACGGGGAAGCAAGUUAGUUGUGAAUUCCCUCGGCUUAACUACGUAACUGCAACUAACACUACUGACCUUGAGUACGUGAGAGGUAAGUGGAAUGCCUAGUGUAGCGGUGAAAUGCGUAGAUAUUAGGAAGAACACCAGUUGCGAAGGCGACUUUCUGGUCAGUAACUGACGUUGAGGCACGAAAGUGUGGGUAUCGAACAGGAUUAGAUACCCGUGUAGUC
Molecule: ribosomal RNA, 441 nt
Filed under: uncultured bacterium
Lineage: Bacteria
Description: partial 16S ribosomal RNA
Rfam family: Bacterial small subunit ribosomal RNA
Source: RNAcentral